UGAGGAAUAUUGGUCAAUGGGCGAGAGCCUGAACCAGCCAAGUAGCGUGCAGGAUGACGGCCCUAUGGGUUGUAAACUGCUUUUAUGUGGGGGUAAAGUGCGUGACGUGUCAUGCAUUGCAGGUACCACAUGAAUAAGGACCGGCUAAUUCCGUGCCAGCAGCCGCGGUAAUACGGAAGGUCCGGGCGUUAUCCGGAUUUAUUGGGUUUAAAGGGAGCGUAGGCUGUCUAUUAAGCGUGUUGUGAAAUUUACCGGCUCAACCGGUGGCUUGCAGCGCGAACUGGUCGACUUGAGUAUGCAGGAAGUAGGCGGAAUUCAUGGUGUAGCGGUGAAAUGCUUAGAUAUCAUGACGAACUCCGAUUGCGCAGGCAGCUUACUGUAGCAUAACUGACGCUGAUGCUCGAAAGUGCGGGUAUCAAACAGG
Molecule: ribosomal RNA, 424 nt
Filed under: Verrucomicrobiota bacterium
Lineage: Bacteria; Pseudomonadati; Verrucomicrobiota
Description: Verrucomicrobia bacterium partial 16S ribosomal RNA
Rfam family: Bacterial small subunit ribosomal RNA
Source: RNAcentral